This 452-nucleotide ribosomal RNA is filed under the name uncultured bacterium. RNAcentral's name for it is "partial 16S ribosomal RNA". It matches the Rfam family "Bacterial small subunit ribosomal RNA", at positions 28 to 507 of the family's 1533-position model. The record is from RNAcentral.
GAUGAACGCUGGUGGCGUGCCUAACACAUGCAAGUCGAGCGAUUCUCUUCGGCGAAGAGCGGCGGACGGGUGAGUAACGCGUGGGUAACCUGCCCUGUACACACGGAUAACAUACCGAAAGGUAUGCUAAUACGAGAUAACAUGCUUUUAUCGCAUGGUAGAAGUAUCAAAGCUUUUGCGGUACAGGAUGGACCCGCGUCUGAUUAGCUAGUUGGUGAGGUAACGGCUCACCAAGGCGACGAUCAGUAGCCGACCUGAGAGGGUGAUCGGCCACAAUGGAACUGAGACACGGUCCAAACUCCUACGGGAGGCAGCAGUGGGGAAUAUUGCACAAUGGGCGAAAGCCUGAUGCAGCAACGCCGCGUGAGCGAUGAAGGCCUUCGGGUCGUAAAGCUCUGUCCUCAAGGAAGAUAAUGACGGUACUUGAGGAGGAAGCCCCGGCUAACUACGUG